CAGUGGAGCUCGUCCUUAACUUCCAGUCCUGACAUACUCAGUCCUGACAUACUCAGGACUGGGAGAUACGGACGAGCUCUAUUG
Molecule: microRNA precursor, 84 nt
Filed under: Callithrix jacchus (white-tufted-ear marmoset)
Lineage: Eukaryota; Metazoa; Chordata; Mammalia; Primates; Cebidae
Description: microRNA cja-mir-9907 precursor
Source: miRBase by way of RNAcentral